UUAAAAAAUAGUUUUAUAUUUCUGUGUUCAACUUUAGCCGUUUGUCUUGUUUAAUUUUUUUAUAAUCAACAUUUUUAUUGCUAUUAAAUUGUAACACAGGAACAAUACUUCAUACAUUAAUAUUUUUUCCUAAUUUAUUUAUAAAUUUUUUUGAGUAAGACGAACGGUUCAAGUUAAACACGGAAAUCAAAAAAUGAAUUUUUU
Molecule: microRNA precursor, 204 nt
Filed under: Leersia perrieri
Lineage: Eukaryota; Viridiplantae; Streptophyta; Magnoliopsida; Poales; Poaceae
Description: MIR812 microRNA precursor family
Rfam family: MIR812 microRNA precursor family
Source: Rfam by way of RNAcentral